RNAcentral lists this ribosomal RNA (429 nucleotides) under Chloroflexota bacterium. RNAcentral describes it as "Chloroflexi bacterium partial 16S ribosomal RNA". It matches the Rfam family "Bacterial small subunit ribosomal RNA", at positions 355 to 776 of the family's 1533-position model. Lineage: Bacteria; Bacillati; Chloroflexota. The record is from RNAcentral.
UGGGGAAUAUUGCACAAUGGGCGCAAGCCUGAUGCAGCCAUGCCGCGUGUGUGAAGAAGGCCUUCGGGUUGUAAAGCACUUUCAGCGGGGAGGAAGGCGAUAAGGUUAAUAACCUCAUCGAUUGACGUUACCCGCAGAAGAAGCACCGGCUAACUCCGUGCCAGCAGCCGCGGUAAUACGGAGGGUGCAAGCGAUAAUCGGAAUUACUGGGCGUAAAGCGCACGCAGGCGGUCUGUCAAGUCGGAUGUGAAAUCCCCGGGCUCAACCUGGGAACUGCAUUCGAAACUGGCAGGCUAGAGACUUGUAGAGGAGGGUAGAAUUCCAGGUGUAGCGGUGAAAUGCGUAGAGAUCUGGAGGAAUACCGGUGGCGAAGGCGGCCCCCUGGACAAAGACUGACGCUCAGGUGCGAAAGCGUGGGGAGCAAACAGG